AUUGAACGCUGGCGGCAUGCCUUACACAUGCAAGUCGAACGGCAGCGGGGGAGAAGCUUGCUUUUCCUGCCGGCGAGUGGCGAACGGGUGAGUAAUACAUCGGAACGUGCCCUGUAGUGGGGGAUAACUAGUCGAAAGAUUAGCUAAUACCGCAUACGACCUGAGGGUGAAAGUGGAGGACCGCAAGGCCUCAUGCUAUAGGAGCGGCCGAUGUCUGAUUAGCUAGUUGGUGGGGUAAGGGCCUACCAAGGCGACGAUCAGUAGCUGGUCUGAGAGGACGAGCGGCCACACUGGGACUGGGACACGGCCCAGACUCCUACGGGAGGCAGCAGUGGGGAAUUUUGGACAAUGGGCGAAAGCCUGAUCCAGCAAUGCCGCGUGUGUGAAGAAGGCCUUCGGGUUGUAAAGCACUUUUGUCCGGAAAGAAAUGGCUCUGGUUAAUACCUGGGGUCGAUGACGGUACCGGAAGAAUAAGGACCGGCUAACUACGUGCCAGCAGCCGCGGUAA
Molecule: ribosomal RNA, 508 nt
Filed under: uncultured bacterium
Lineage: Bacteria
Description: partial 16S ribosomal RNA
Rfam family: Bacterial small subunit ribosomal RNA
Source: RNAcentral